Molecule: ribosomal RNA, 467 nt
Filed under: uncultured bacterium
Lineage: Bacteria
Description: partial 16S ribosomal RNA
Rfam family: Bacterial small subunit ribosomal RNA
Source: RNAcentral
GACGAACGCUGGCGGCGUGCUUAACACAUGCAAGUCGAACGGAAAGGCCCUGCUUUUGUGGGGUGCUCGAGUGGCGAACGGGUGAGUAACACGUGAGUAACCUGCCCUUGACUUUGGGAUAACUUCAGGAAACUGGGGCUAAUACCGGAUAGGAGCUCCUGCUGCAUGGUGGGGGUUGGAAAGUUUCGGCGGUUGGGGAUGGACUCGCGGCUUAUCAGCUUGUUGGUGGGGUAGUGGCUUACCAAGGCUUUGACGGGUAGCCGGCCUGAGAGGGUGACCGGCAACAUGGGGAUGGGGAUACGGCCCGGAUUCUGACGGGGGGAGGAGUGGGGGAAUAUGGAACAAGGGGCGGAGGCUGGAGGAGGAAACGCGGGGGGGGGGUGGAGGGCCUUCGGGUUGGAAACGGCUUUGGCUUGGAAGGAGGGGUGGGGGAGGGAAAUGGGAAAGGAAGCACGGCUAACUACGUG